CAUGCAAGUCGAGCGGAUGAGAGGAGCUUGCUCCUGGAUUCAGCGGCGGACGGGUGAGUAAUGCCUAGGAAUCUGCCUGAUAGUGGGGGACAACGUUUCGAAAGGAACGCUAAUACCGCAUACGUCCUACGGGAGAAAGCAGGGGACCUUCGGGCCUUGCGCUAUCAGAUGAGCCUAGGUCGGAUUAGCUAGUUGGUGAGGUAAUGGCUCACCAAGGCGACGAUCCGUAACUGGUCUGAGAGGAUGAUCAGUCACACUGGAACUGAGACACGGUCCAGACUCCUACGGGAGGCAGCAGUGGGGAAUAUUGGACAAUGGGCGAAAGCCUGAUCCAGCCAUGCCGCGUGUGUGAAGAAGGUCUUCGGAUUGUAAAGCACUUUAAGUUGGGAGGAAGGGUUGUAGAUUAAUACUCUGCAAUUUUGACGUUACCGACAGAAUAAGCACCGGCUAACUCUGUGCCAGCAGCCGCGGUAAUACAGAGGGUGCAAGCGUUAAUCGGAAUUACUGGGCGUAAAGCGCGCGUAGGUGGUUCGUUAAGUUGGAUGUGAAAUCCCCGGGCUCAACCUGGGAACUGCAUUCAAAACUGUCGAGCUAGAGUAUGGUAGAGGGUGGUGGAAUUUCCUG
Molecule: ribosomal RNA, 624 nt
Filed under: Pseudomonas sp.
Lineage: Bacteria; Pseudomonadati; Pseudomonadota; Gammaproteobacteria; Pseudomonadales; Pseudomonadaceae
Description: bacterial SSU rRNA
Rfam family: Bacterial small subunit ribosomal RNA
Source: RNAcentral